Long non-coding RNA from Prionailurus viverrinus (fishing cat), 165 nucleotides. RefSeq lists it as uncharacterized. Lineage: Eukaryota; Metazoa; Chordata; Mammalia; Carnivora; Felidae. The transcript has 3 exons. The record is from RefSeq and is a predicted model, not a curated record.
UUAGAAGGGAGUUCUCUACAAAGAAUAGCCUGCUCCAGUGCUGGCCUGAGAUUUGGACCACAACAAAUGCUCAGCGUGGCAAGCUUCUAGAGUCAGCAAGAGAUCCUCAAAUUAAGAUGGAGUUCCAAGGCAAAGAUUAAAUGUGUAUCACCUGGUAACAUAGGC